RNAcentral lists this ribosomal RNA (496 nucleotides) under uncultured bacterium. Its description in RNAcentral is "partial 16S ribosomal RNA". It matches the Rfam family "Bacterial small subunit ribosomal RNA", at positions 29 to 507 of the family's 1533-position model. The record is from RNAcentral.
AUGAACGCUGGCGGCGUGCCUAAUACAUGCAAGUCGAGCGAACAGACGAGGAGCUUGCUCUUCUGACGUUAGCGGCGGACGGGUGAGUAACACGUGGAUAACCUACCUAUAAGACUGGGAUAACUUCGGGAAACCGGAGCUAAUACCGGAUAAUAUAUUGAACCGCAUGGUUCAAUAGUGAAAGACGGUUUUGCUGUCACUUAUAGAUGGAUCCGCGCCGCAUUAGCUAGUUGGUAAGGUAACGGCUUACCAAGGCAACGAUGCGUAGCCGACCUGAGAGGGUGAUCGGCCACACUGGAACUGAGACACGGUCCAGACUCCUACGGGAGGCAGCAGUAGGGAAUCUUCCGCAAUGGGCGAAAGCCUGACGGAGCAACGCCGCGUGAGUGAUGAAGGUCUUCGGAUCGUAAAACUCUGUUAUUAGGGAAGAACAAAUGUGUAAGUAACUAUGCACGUCUUGACGGUACCUAAUCAGAAAGCCACGGCUAACUACGUG